This 524-nucleotide ribosomal RNA is filed under the name uncultured bacterium. Its description in RNAcentral is "partial 16S ribosomal RNA". It matches the Rfam family "Bacterial small subunit ribosomal RNA", at positions 28 to 523 of the family's 1533-position model. The record is from RNAcentral.
GACGAACGCUGGCGGCGUGCCUAAUACAUGCAAGUCGAACGCCUCUUUCCUCCCGAGUGCUUGCACUCAAUUGGAAAGAGGAGUGGCGGACGGGUGAGUAACACGUGGGUAACCUACCCAUCAGAGGGGGAUAACACUUGGAAACAGGUGCUAAUACCGCAUAACAGUUUAUGCCGCAUGGCAUAAGAGUGAAAGGCGCUUUCGGGUGUCGCUGAUGGAUGGACCCGCGGUGCAUUAGCUAGUUGGUGAGGUAACGGCUCACCAAGGCCACGAUGCAUAGCCGACCUGAGGGGGUGAUCGGCCACACUGGGACUGAGGCACGGCCCAGACUCGUACGGGAGGCAGAAGUAGGGAAUCUUCGGCAAUGGACGGAAGUCUGACCGAGCAACGCCGCGUGAGUGAAGAAGGUUUUCGGAUCGUAAAACUCUGUUGUUAGAGAAGAACAAGGACGUUAGUAACUGAACGUCCCCUGACGGUAUCUAACCAGAAAGCCACGGCUAACUACGUGCCAGCCGCCGCGGUAA